Long non-coding RNA from Eupeodes corollae, 557 nucleotides. RefSeq lists it as uncharacterized. NCBI's taxonomy places the organism in Eukaryota, Metazoa, Arthropoda, Insecta, Diptera, Syrphidae. The transcript has 5 exons. The record is from RefSeq and is a predicted model, not a curated record.
AGGAUCUUUUAUUGAUGGAAUUACAAUUCGCACUUUUAAAAGAUUUAAAGAUAAUUUUGUGGAUAGCUUUGAUACAGAACCAAAAGAUCGAAAAAACUUCAUUCCUUAAAAUACAACAAGAUUCUCAACAACUUGGAUUUAUUCCAGAACAAAAAGAUAGAAAGCCUCAAGAACAAAUUUGCUUCAUCUAAUAAUAUGUGUGGAACUGACAGAGUUUUCCCGCCAGAAUUUUUUUAGAAGCGCGCUUGGCUUGACUUGACGGGAGUAGCUAUAAGCUAUACGCACUACACUACGCAUUUGAAGAGGCUUGAAGCGAAUUUAAAAAAAAACACAAAAUUUCAUGAAUUGAAAUUUAAAUUUUGUUGUUUUCUUUUUUUUUGAUUUAUAAAGUAUUUUUUUUUUCAAGUUUGCCACACGGGAUUUUGCCUAUAAUCACAUUCAAGAGCUUUAAAGAAAAAUAAGCGCUGUUUUGCUCAAGAGCCACACCUUUUAAAUUGUUAUUGUUUUUUUUACUAGGGAUUUGGACAAUCAAACACGUGGUUUAAGUGGAAUUAUUA